This is a small nuclear RNA of Saccostrea cuccullata (small rock oyster), 128 nucleotides long. The record is from RefSeq and is a predicted model, not a curated record. NCBI's taxonomy places the organism in Eukaryota, Metazoa, Mollusca, Bivalvia, Ostreida, Ostreidae.
GUGUUGUAUGAAAGGAGAGACGGUUAGCACUCCCCUAUAUAAGGACGGAAGGGGCCUUUAUGGUCUAUACAACACAUGUAAGGCCAAUGUCUUCCUACUACCUUAUCUUACCUAGGCAACCUUAUUUC